Molecule: ribosomal RNA, 910 nt
Filed under: uncultured bacterium
Lineage: Bacteria
Description: bacterial SSU rRNA
Rfam family: Bacterial small subunit ribosomal RNA
Source: RNAcentral
ACGCUGGCGGCGUGCCUAAUACAUGCAAGUAGAACGCUGAAGAGAGGAGCUUGCUCUUCUUGGAUGAGUUGCGAACGGGUGAGUAACGCGUAGGUAACCUGCCUUGUAGCGGGGGAUAACUAUUGGAAACGAUAGCUAAUACCGCAUAACAAUGGAUGACCCAUGUCAUUUAUUUGAAAGGGGCAAAUGCUCCACUACAAGAUGGACCUGCGUUGUAUUAGCUAGUAGGUGAGGUAACGGCUCACCUAGGCGACGAUACAUAGCCGACCUGAGAGGGUGAUCGGCCACACUGGGACUGAGACACGGCCCAGACUCCUACGGGAGGCAGCAGUAGGGAAUCUUCGGCAAUGGGGGCAACCCUGACCGAGCAACGCCGCGUGAGUGAAGAAGGUUUUCGGAUCGUAAAGCUCUGUUGUAAGUCAAGAACGAGUGUGAGAGUGGAAAGUUCACACUGUGACGGUAGCUUACCAGAAAGGGACGGCUAACUACGUGCCAGCAGCCGCGGUAAUACGUAGGUCCCGAGCGCUGUCCGGAUUUAUUGGGCGUAAAGCGAGCGCAGGCGGUUUGAUAAGUCUGAAGUUAAAGGCUGUGGCUCAACCAUAGUUCGCUUUGGAAACUGUCAAACUUGAGUGCAGAAGGGGAGAGUGGAAUUCCAUGUGUAGCGGUGAAAUGCGUAGAUAUAUGGAGGAACACCGGUGGCGAAAGCGGCUCUCUGGUCUGUAACUGACGCUGAGGCUCGAAAGCGUGGGGAGCGAACAGGAUUAGAUACCCUGGUAGUCCACGCCGUAAACGAUGAGUGCUAGGUGUUGGAUCCUUUCCGGGAUUCAGUGCCGCAGCUAACGCAUUAAGCACUCCGCCUGGGGAGUACGACCGCAAGGUUGAAACUCAAAGGAAUUGACGGGGGCCCGCA